RNAcentral lists this non-coding RNA (225 nucleotides) under Alkalihalobacillus pseudalcaliphilus. RNAcentral's name for it is "Bacillus pseudalcaliphilus T-box sequence". It matches the Rfam family "T-box leader". From Rfam's summary of the family: Uncharged tRNA acts as the effector for transcription antitermination of genes in the T-box leader family. Lineage: Bacteria; Bacillati; Bacillota; Bacilli; Caryophanales; Bacillaceae. The record is from RNAcentral.
GAAAACACUGUGAAUAAGAGUAGUAGGGUAGAGGCUGUUGCAUGAGAGAGCUGUCGGUUGCUGGAAGAUGGCCAACACCUCGCCUGAAGUCGCUUAGAAGUGGUUAGCCUGAACCGAAGUAGGGCUAAACGGAUCGAAUUCGUUAACAACGAUUAAGUGGAUUUUUUUAUGUAUGAAAAAUCAAUCAGAGUGGUACCACGUUAGGUUAUGCCUGUCGUCUCUAUG